GGGAGUAUAGUUAAAAAUAACAUCUAAAUUGCAAUUAGAAGGAACUAUAAAAGUUAUUCUCA
Molecule: transfer RNA, 62 nt
Filed under: Planusocoris schaeferi
Lineage: Eukaryota; Metazoa; Arthropoda; Insecta; Hemiptera; Alydidae
Description: tRNA-Ala
Source: RNAcentral